Long non-coding RNA from Syzygium oleosum, 684 nucleotides. RefSeq lists it as uncharacterized. The record is from RefSeq and is a predicted model, not a curated record. The transcript has 2 exons. NCBI's taxonomy places the organism in Eukaryota, Viridiplantae, Streptophyta, Magnoliopsida, Myrtales, Myrtaceae.
ACCCCUCCCCUCCCGCUCCACCACGUGGUCACCGUACUCAUCUCACCCGUCGUCUCGCCCUCUCCUACCUCUGCUCCACCCCACUCAAGGAUCCGUGCCCGCCCAUCCCCUCCUCCUCCGCCACUCCCUACCCCUUCUCCGCCUCCCCGGCUGGUUCCAUGAUCCGGUUCCCGGGUGGAUCCAGAAAUUAGCGGGCGGUUCCCAGUUUCCAUUUUGUGGAACCGGCCCUUAGCGGGUAGUUCCCGAUUUUAGGGUGAGAACUGCUCAAGCGAACAAUGCUCACCCCUAGUGUCGAGAUCGGAUAAACCUUUGUAAACGGGUAGAGGGUACUCUGUUGACUUGAUGCUCCAUAUAGAAGAAGAGGAAUCCAGGCAACUAUGGGAAAAGACGAUCGAAGGAACAAGAAAGAACAACAAGAAGCACUUUGGAAUAGAGAUAUUAACAAGAGAAGGCCAUGCAAGAAACGAGCAAAGAGAACUGUGAAAGGGUGAUGUCAUCGGAUGACAAAACUGGUGCUCGACAUUCUCACGAGUAAACCGACCAAAGAGGAAGGCAUUGAUAGUUCUUCGAGAAAUGGUUCCUCUUGGCUGACAAAAAACAGUAGAUCUUGGAAGUCGAUUGAGAACCACGUCACGACACUAUGUACAGAAAUUACGAUAAAUCGAAUGUUAUUACCUCUUGUUA